RNAcentral lists this ribosomal RNA (255 nucleotides) under uncultured bacterium. RNAcentral's name for it is "partial 16S ribosomal RNA". It matches the Rfam family "Bacterial small subunit ribosomal RNA", at positions 524 to 776 of the family's 1533-position model. The record is from RNAcentral.
UACGUAGGGGGCGAGCGUUGUCCGGAUUUACUGGGCGUAAAGGGCGCGUAGGCGGCCACCGCAAGUCGACUGUGAAAUCUCCGGGCUUAACUCGGAAAGGUCAGCCGAUACUGCGGGGCUAGAGUGCAGAAGGGGCAACUGGAAUUCUCGGUGUAGCGGUGAAAUGCGUAGAUAUCGAGAGGAACACCUGCGGCGAAGGCGGGUUGCUGGGCUGACACUGACGCUGAUUGUGCGAAAGCUAGGGGAGCGAACGGG